This 487-nucleotide ribosomal RNA is filed under the name uncultured bacterium. Its description in RNAcentral is "bacterial SSU rRNA". It matches the Rfam family "Bacterial small subunit ribosomal RNA", at positions 28 to 524 of the family's 1533-position model. The record is from RNAcentral.
GACGAACGCUGGCGGCGUGCUUAACACAUGCAAGUCGAGCGGGAUCCAACCGGUGGCAACACCGGGGAAGAUCUAGCGGCGAACGGGUGAGUAACACGUGAGCAACCUGCCCCGAAGACUGGGAUAACACCGGGAAACCGGUGCUAAUACCGGAUGUCGUCAUUAGGCCGCAUGACCUGAUGAUGAAAGGAUUCAUCGCUUCGGGAGGGGCUCGCGGGCUAUCAGCUUGNGGUGGGGUAACGGCCUACCAAGGCGACGACGGCUAGCUGGUCUGAGAGGACGACCAGCCACACUGGGACUGAGACACGGCCCAGACUCCUACGGGAGGCAGCAGUGGGGGAAUAUUGGACAAUGGGCGCAAGCCUGAUCCAGCCAUGCCGCGUGAGUGACGAAGGCCUUAGGGUUGUAAAGCUCUUUUGCCGGGGACGAUAAUGACGGUACCCGGAGAAUAAGUCCCGGCUAACUUCGUGCCAGCCGCCGCGGUAAC